UCGAAGGAAAUUGCCUACAUGUCAGAAGCAUUUUGAAGCAUUCAAUGAUUAAAUCAAAACACUUUCUAAUAUAUAUAUACUCUGCCUCAAUCCAUCAAAUGGAUCAGCAACUUACACAACCAGUCAAACUGGUCUUGUCUUUACGAGGUGUAUUGGAUUUUGUAAUCAAAGAAAACAAGAUAAUUUCAAGAGAAACAUCAAAAGUGCUUUAUUCAAAGUAAUAUCCAUCACAAACUACACAUUUCCCUCAUCUUUCAGGGUGAGCACAAAGCC
This is a long non-coding RNA of Pipistrellus kuhlii (Kuhl's pipistrelle), 273 nucleotides long. RefSeq lists it as uncharacterized. Lineage: Eukaryota; Metazoa; Chordata; Mammalia; Chiroptera; Vespertilionidae. The record is from RefSeq and is a predicted model, not a curated record. The transcript has 3 exons.